GCCAUGUGAUGAUAUCAAGGCUGUUGUGAUUCAGUUGGUUCGGCUAAGUCCAGGGACCUCUGAUCUAUUCAGGUCUGUAAUCUUGGUGGUCGAUACAGAGUAAUGUACGUCCACUGUAAGGGCGGACCAACAAAAAUUUUCCUACUUUGGAGUCACCUCACUCGAGUAGGGUGAUUCUGCAGUUGCCAGGAGAAUUGUGGUAACUGGAAUGAAAGUAGGAACAGGCUGUAUUCAAGAUACAAGGGUCAGGGGUCCCUAAGGACUUAGCUGUGUCAUAGCCACUGAGAGAUGACACACAGAUCUUUGGUAAUCUGAUGGCU
Peromyscus eremicus (cactus mouse) is the source of this 320-nucleotide small nucleolar RNA. Lineage: Eukaryota; Metazoa; Chordata; Mammalia; Rodentia; Cricetidae. The record is from RefSeq and is a predicted model, not a curated record.